Molecule: ribosomal RNA, 521 nt
Filed under: uncultured bacterium
Lineage: Bacteria
Description: bacterial SSU rRNA
Rfam family: Bacterial small subunit ribosomal RNA
Source: RNAcentral
CCAGAGAACUUAGCAGAGAUGCUUUGGUGCCUUCGGGAACUCUGAGACAGGUGCUGCAUGGCUGUCGUCAGCUCGUGUUGUGAAAUGUUGGGUUAAGUCCCGCAACGAGCGCAACCCUUAUCCUUUGUUGCCAGCGAUUCGGUCGGGAACUCAAAGGAGACUGCCGGUGAUAAACCGGAGGAAGGUGGGGAUGACGUCAAGUCAUCAUGGCCCUUACGGCCAGGGCUACACACGUGCUACAAUGGCGCAUACAAAGAGAAGCGACCUCGCGAGAGCAAGCGGACCUCAUAAAGUGCGUCGUAGUCCGGAUUGGAGUCUGCAACUCGACUCCAUGAAGUCGGAAUCGCUAGUAAUCGUAGAUCAGAAUGCUACGGUGAAUACGUUCCCGGGCCUUGUACAUACCGCCCGUCACACCAUGGGAGUGGGUUGCAAAAGAAGUAGGUAGCUUAACCUUCGGGAGGGCGCUUACCACUUUGUGAUUCAUGACUGGGGUGAAGUCGUAACAAGGUAAGCGUAGUGCU